AUCUUCUUAUAUAUGUUUUUAUUUUUCCUGAGUGGCUAUCUGGAAGUGGCAUUGCUAACUUGCUUAUAAGUGGAAGGAACUUAUCUACAGAUGAGAAUUUGGACGUGGGUCUUGAAAUCUGGGACUUCUGAGUUAAUUCUGGAACCAGUCAAGACCUUUGGGAACUAUUGCAAAGGCAUCAUUGUAUAUCGAAAUGUGAGAAAGCUUUCUGAGGACCUCAACAGAAACAGAUGUUGAAGCCAUGCUGUUACAGCCGGCAGCACCUUACAGGUCUGGACAUUUGCUAUACAGAAAUUCUGAUUCUGCCAUAGAAUGAAACUGAAAAGAGUUUGGGGUAAAAUUAGCAUGUUUAGG
This 354-nucleotide long non-coding RNA is filed under the name Homo sapiens (human). RNAcentral's name for it is "HSALNT0147866". Lineage: Eukaryota; Metazoa; Chordata; Mammalia; Primates; Hominidae. The record is from RNAcentral.